This 251-nucleotide long non-coding RNA is filed under the name Phoenix dactylifera (date palm). Its description in RNAcentral is "long non-coding RNA (PDAC_LNC019042)". Lineage: Eukaryota; Viridiplantae; Streptophyta; Magnoliopsida; Arecales; Arecaceae. The record is from RNAcentral.
GACAAAGGUGAAAAAAGAUUCUUCUGAUUCUCAUUGCAAUUCUUGGAACAUUCAUUUUAUUGUACUAAGACUAGCAACAUUAUCGGUAUAUUAUUAACAUUAUAUUCUUGCAUAGAGUUAAUGAGCUUGUUUCAGUGCUUCUGUCGGCUAUUGUAUAAAUGGUUGCUAUCUUUGUAUUUGUUGUUGUUUUGUGAACUCUGGAUGAAAUAAUCCUACCAAAAGAAACUUGGAUGUGAAUAAUGCGGACCACG